AACGAACGCUGGCGGCGUGCUUAACACAUGCAAGUCGAACGCGAAAGGGGCUUCGGUCCUGAGUAGAGUGGCGCACGGGUGAGUAACGCGUAGAUAACCUGUCCUGGUGUCUGGAAUAAUAUCUCGAAAGGGGUGCUAAUACCGGAUAUUCUUGCUUUCUAUAAGGUAUGCAAGGAAAGGUGGCCUCUGGAACAAGCUACUGCACGAGGAGGGGUCUGCGUACCAUUAGCUAGUAGGUGGGGUAAUGGCCUACCUAGGCGAAGAUGGUUAGCGGGUCUUAGAGGAUGAUCCGCCACACUGGUACUGGAACACGGACCAGACUCCUACGGGAGGCAGCAGUGGGGAAUGUUGCGCAAUGGGGGCAACCCUGACGCAGCGACGCCGCGUGAGUGAGGAAGGCCUUCGGGUCGUAAAGCUCUGUCAAAGGGGAAGAAGUGCAUGGUGGUUAAUAUCUGUCAUGUUUGACGGUACCCUUAAAGGAAGCACCGGCUAACUCCGUGCCAGCAGCCGCCGUAA
Molecule: ribosomal RNA, 516 nt
Filed under: uncultured bacterium
Lineage: Bacteria
Description: partial 16S ribosomal RNA
Rfam family: Bacterial small subunit ribosomal RNA
Source: RNAcentral